This 462-nucleotide ribosomal RNA is filed under the name uncultured bacterium. RNAcentral describes it as "partial 16S ribosomal RNA". It matches the Rfam family "Bacterial small subunit ribosomal RNA", at positions 34 to 507 of the family's 1533-position model. The record is from RNAcentral.
CGCUGGCGGCGUGCUUAACACAUGCACGUCGAACGGCAAGGCCCUGCUUUUGUGGGGUGCUCGAGUGGCGAACGGGUGAGUAACACGUGAGUAACCUGCCCUUGACUUUGGGAUAACUUCAGGAAACUGGGGCUAAUACCGGAUAGGAGCUCCUGCUGCAUGGUGGGGGUUGGAAAGUUUCGGCGGUUGGGGAUGGACUCGCGGCUUAUCAGCUUGUUGGUGGGGUAGUGGCUUACCAAGGCUUUGACGGGUAGCCGGCCUGAGAGGGUGACCGGCCACAUUGGGACUGAGAUACGGCCCAGACUCCUACGGGAGGCAGCAGUGGGGAAUAUUGCACAAUGGGCGGAAGCCUGAUGCAGCAACGCCGCGUGCGGGAUGACGGCCUUCGGGUUGUAAACCGCUUUCGCCUGUGACGAAGCGUGAGUGACGGUAAUGGGUAAAGAAGCACCGGCUAACUACGUG